GAUGAACGCUGGCGGCGUGCCUAAUACAUGCAAGUCGAGCGAACAGACGCGGAGCUUGCUCCUCUGACGUUAGCGGCGGACGGGUGAGUAACACGUGGAUAACCUACUUAUAUGACUGGGAUCACUUCGGGAAACCGGCGCUAAUCCCGGAUAAUAUAUUGAUCCGCAUGGUUCAAUAGUGAAAGACGGUUUUGCUGUCACUUCUCGCUGGAUCUGCGCCGCAUUAGCUAGUUGGUAAGGUAACGGCUUAUCAAGGCAACGAUGCGUAGCCGACCUGAGAGAGUGGUCGGCCACACGGGAGCGGAGACACGGUCCAGACGACUACGGGAGGCAGCAGUAGGGAAUCUUCCGCAAUGGGCGGAAGCCUUACGGAGCAACGCCGCGUGAGUGAUGAAAGUCUUCGGAGCGGAAAACUCUGUUAUUAGGGAAAAACAAAUUUGUAAGUAACUAUGCACGUCGUGACGGUACCUGAUCAGAAAGCCACGGCUAACUACGUG
This 497-nucleotide ribosomal RNA is filed under the name uncultured bacterium. RNAcentral's name for it is "partial 16S ribosomal RNA". It matches the Rfam family "Bacterial small subunit ribosomal RNA", at positions 28 to 507 of the family's 1533-position model. The record is from RNAcentral.